CCAAAUUUUAUCAUCAGGAUUUCUGUGUAUCAGUAUUGAUUCAGUGUCUGAUUGUUUCAUUGUGUUUUCAUUGAUCGCUGCUCCAACGACUUCAAACCCAAACUGGACUUUCUGAUCCUUUUCAGCAUCAGUCCCAUCAGCCUCCACACCAACACCAACAACAACUCAGAGUCAAAGCUCCAGUUCAGGAAGUUUCACAUCAUCAGUUUCCCCUGAAACCACCGACCAGCUUACAGCAUCAGUCCCAUCAGCCUCCACACCAACACCAACAACAACUCAGAGUCAAAGCUCCAGUUCAGGUAGUUUCACACCAUCAGUUUCCCCUGAAACCACCGACCAGGUUACAGGUUACUUCCUGCCUCUGGUUGUCGGUGUGACUUGUGUUUUUGUGCUGCUGGCUGUUUUUCUGCUGCUCCUCUACAAAUGGAAGGCAAGAAGGAACUUUGCUGUGAACACCGGAGGAAAUGCAGACGACAUACACAUGGAGGCAUCUGUCACCUAUGAGAACUUGGCUCCAGUCUCCACAUGUGAAGAGUCCAUCUACCAGACCCUCCAACCAGCCAGCACAGAUCAGGACCAAACCUACUCUACACUUUAAGACAGCAAACAAAUGAUAAUGUUUGGAUUUGAAUCUGGAUUUUGUGCAGCUUAUAAUGUUCUGCAAGGUUCCAUUUGUUGCUUUACUGUUGGCAGAUAUUAUGUAAGGGAUAAUGUACAGCCAGCGGGUCAUUGUUGUGAAAGAAUCCCAGACAGGGUGUUGCUGCACCCCGAUGCAAAGUCCUGAAGGGGAUUCUUUCACAACAAUGACCUGCUGGCUGUACAUUAUCCCGCUUAUUACACGGCUACUUACUGAAUAAAUCAAUAUUUUGACACAAAAACGGUCCGUCAGAGUCCGACAUCAGAGCUGCGCCCAUAGC
Molecule: long non-coding RNA, 917 nt
Organism: Sebastes umbrosus (honeycomb rockfish)
Lineage: Eukaryota; Metazoa; Chordata; Actinopteri; Perciformes; Sebastidae
Exons: 4
Source: RefSeq, a predicted model, not a curated record